Xenia sp. Carnegie-2017 is the source of this 699-nucleotide long non-coding RNA. RefSeq lists it as uncharacterized. Lineage: Eukaryota; Metazoa; Cnidaria; Anthozoa; Malacalcyonacea; Xeniidae. The transcript has 3 exons. The record is from RefSeq and is a predicted model, not a curated record.
UUAUUACGAAAGAAACCAGUCUAUACAUCUCUUUAUCUACUAAUGUAAAACUUACUUUUUGAACUGUGUCGACUUUCUAUAAAACCUAUGUAGGCUUUCCCGGACGAUUUCACAAAACGUGAAUUGAAAAAUAUUCGUUUACAUUGUCUCUCUGAGCAGUGGAAAUGGUUUGGUGCCUAUGAAGAAUUGGAAGGUCAUUCUCAAGUUUGUGAGCAUGCGCUCAUCAGCUGCGUACAUAAGCAGUGUAACAUUCGGUUACCUCGCUCUCUCUUUGAUGAGCAUUUGAAGAAUGAAUGUGAAUAUCGAAAUGUGAAAUGUGAAUAUUGUGGUAAAGAUGUCCCGUAUGCUUCACUUAAGAAGCACGAAGAAAUAAUGUGUGAAAAUUAUCGAGUGGUUUGUAAGUAUUGUAUUCAAAUGAUACCAAGGAAAGAUAUUGAACAUCAUGAAAGUACGACUUGUGAUGAAGUGCCGACGAAAUGUGAAUUUCAAGCCAUUGGAUGCAACCAUGAUAAAGUAAGAAUGUUUGGACUGAUUUAUAAUUUUAUGUCAGCAGUAGUAGAUGCGUAGUAGCUCCCACCGACAAUCUUGCAUUUGUUCUUUGCAUAAAAAAAUUUAACGUCAAAACCCUUGAGAUGAUAGUAUGGUAUAAAAAUGCUUAGAAGUUUUAAAAUUCAAAACAAGCAAUGUUAAAAACGUUGA